UCCUGCUAAAGGAAUCUUUUGCCGGUCCUAAAAGCACCGGUGAAUAAGGGGUGGGCAAGUCUGGUGUCAGCCGCCGCGGUAAUACCAGCACCUCGAGUGAUCAGGACGUUUAUUGGGCCUAAAGCAUCCGUAGCUGGCUCUGCAAGUCUCCGGUUAAAUCAACCUGCUUAACAGAUUGGCCGCUGGAGAUACUACAAAGCUAGGGAGUGGGAGAGGCAGACGGUAUUCGGGGGGUAGGGGUAAAAUCCUCUGAUCCUCUGAGGACCACCAGUGGCGAAGGCGGUCUGCCAGAACACGUUCGACAGUGAGGGAUGAAAGCUGGGGGAGCAAACCGGAUUAGAUACCCCCGUAGUCC
Molecule: ribosomal RNA, 355 nt
Filed under: uncultured bacterium
Lineage: Bacteria
Description: bacterial SSU rRNA
Rfam family: Archaeal small subunit ribosomal RNA
Source: RNAcentral